RNAcentral lists this ribosomal RNA (489 nucleotides) under uncultured bacterium. RNAcentral describes it as "partial 16S ribosomal RNA". It matches the Rfam family "Bacterial small subunit ribosomal RNA", at positions 28 to 523 of the family's 1533-position model. The record is from RNAcentral.
GACGAACGCUGGCGGCGUGCUUAACACAUGCAAGUCGAGCGGAAAGGCCCUUUCGGGGGUACUCGAGCGGCGAACGGGUGAGUAACACGUGAGUAAUCUGCCCUUGGCUUUGGGAUAACCACCGGAAACGGUGGCUAAUACCGGAUAUGACGCGCCCCGGCAUCGGGGUGUGUGGAAAGUUUUUUCGGCCAGGGAUGUGCUCGCGGCCUAUCAGCUUAUUGGUGGGGUAAUGGCCUACCAAGGCUUCGACGGGUAGCCGGCCUGAGAGGGUGACCGGCCACACUGGGACUGGGACACGGCCCAGACUCCUACGGGAGGCAGCAGUGGGGAAUAUUGGACAAUGGGCGGAAGCCUGAUCCAGCAACGCCGCGUGAGGGAUGACGGCCUUCGGGUUGUAAACCUCUUUCAGUACCGACGAAGCGCCGAUGAUGGUGGUGACGGUAGGUACAGAAGAAGCACCGGCCAACUACGUGCCAGCCGCCGCAGUAA